Molecule: long non-coding RNA, 1056 nt
Filed under: Capra hircus (goat)
Lineage: Eukaryota; Metazoa; Chordata; Mammalia; Artiodactyla; Bovidae
Description: lncRNA (ENSCHIG00010006379.1)
Source: RNAcentral
GAAAGACUGGUUAUUCUACAGCUGCUAAUCUAGCCCACAAGUAACUGUAAUGACCUGGUACACUGUAAUGACCAGCAAUCUGGUCAUUGCACAUGACCUGGUACGUAAUCUGUGGGGCCUGGUGCAACAUGAAAAUUAAGAAUUCUAAGCAAGUAAGAACAAGGCACUGAGCCAAGUGCAGAGCCCUUCUAAGCCUUAUGCAACAGGAUAGGUUACACAGACACAAAGCCAGGCCUACACUCAGGAAAAAAUGGGCAGAAGAGAAUAUGAAUCCAGUUGUCUGGAUUUACUUUCAGAAAAGCUUUUGCAAAAAAGAGAAACUGUCACUGGAAGAGGUCUAAGAUUGGCUUAUGGUGAUAAAAGCAUUCAUUCCAAAUAUCACCUAUUUAUUUCUUCAUUCAAACUCACCAAAAACAAGGCACAUUGCUAGUUUCUUGGAUACAAAUUUUAAAAUGACAUUCUCCAUCUUCAUGGUGCUCACACUCCAGUGGGCAAACUAACAUGAAAAUAGACCUGUAAUCUGAGGCCACAGACGGUUAUAAUGGAAGAGUCCUGGAAACUGAAUCANNNNNNNNNNNNNNNNNNNNNNNNNNNNNNNNNNNNNNNNNNNNNNNNNNNNAACAAAAUUAGUGAAGUUACCCUUCUAAAAAAAGUUGCUUUUCUGUGUGGCAAACUUCUCAAAGGAAGCCAAGAAUUAGGCUGAUUUAGUGGUCUACAAGUUGACUUUCUUUUUGAGGAACAAGGCACAUCAUUUCGCCUAUGUAGAAAUUUUGUCCAGUGUAUACCUACUUAUUUUUCACCUUAAUGAAGUACGGCCCACACUAUUCCUUUCUUCACUAUAUCCUCUCGAAACAUUUAUCCCAAUCUCAUUGCCAGAGGUGGGCAGACCAAAUAAAUUGAUCCAUUUUCCUGAUGUUUUUGGAGACUGCUUGGCAAGAAGAGAAUGGAGAAAACUCCAUUUAAUGUCAGGCUUAAGUUAAAAAGAGAAAAAAAGAGGCAGUUUGUUUUCAGCUCAGUUCAGUCGCUCAGUCAUGUCCGACUCUGCGACCCCAUGAA